This 1435-nucleotide ribosomal RNA is filed under the name metagenome. Its description in RNAcentral is "bacterial SSU rRNA". It matches the Rfam family "Bacterial small subunit ribosomal RNA". The record is from RNAcentral.
AGAGUUUGAUCCUAGCUCAGGGUGAAUGCUAGCGGUGCGCCUAACACAUGCAAGUCGAGCGGUAGUAUUUUCUAGCUUGCUAGAGAAUAUGAGAGCGGCGAACGGGUGCGUAACACGUUGAUAUCUGCCCAUAGGUCAGGGAUAGCCCAGAGAAAUCUGGAUUAAUACCGGAUAAUCUCUACGGAGAAAAGAUUUAUCGCCUAUGGAGGAGUCUGCGGUCUAUCAGCCUGUUGGUGAGGUAAAAGCUCACCAAGGCUAUGACGGAUAGCUGGUCUGAGAGGAUGACCAGCCACAAUGGAACUGAGACACGGUCCAUACUCCUACGGGAGGCAGCAGUGAGGAAUCUUCCACAAUGGACGAAAGUCUGAUGGAGCGACACCGCGUGAAGGAUGAAGGUCUAACGAUUGUAAACUUCUUUUCUGAAGGAGCAUAAUGAGAGUACUUCAGGAAUAAGGGACGGCUAAAUACGUGCCAGCAGCCGCGGUAAUACGUAUGUCCCAAGCAUUACCCGGAAUCAUUGGGUGUAAAGCGUUUGUAGGUGGUUAAGUAAGUCAGGUAUGAAAGACCGGAGCUCAACUCCGUGUUUGUGCUUGAAACUGCUUAACUAGAAUCAGGGAGAGGUAGCGGAAUUCUGAGUGUAGGGGUGCAAUCCGUAGAUACUCAGAGGAACACCAAAAGCGAAGGCAGCUUACUGGAACUGUAUUGACGCUGAGAAACGAAAGCGUGGGUAGCGAAAAGGAUUAGAUACCCUUGUAGUCCACGCCCUAAACGAUGAUGACUAAGUGUUCCCGCUAGACGGGAGUGCUGUAGCUAACGCGUUAAGUCAUCCACCUGAGGAGUACGGUCGCAAGAUUAAAACUCAAAGGAAUAGACGGGGACCCACACAAGCAGUGGAUCACGUGGUUUAAUUCGACAAUAAACGGGGAACCUUACCCAGACUUGACAUCCUGAGAAUCUCUUAGAGAUAAGAGAGUGCCUUUAUUGGAGCUCAGUGACAGGUGCUGCAUGGUUGUCGUCAGCUCGUGCCUUGAGGUGUUCGGUUAAGUCCGUUAACGAGCGCAACCCAUGUUCUUAGUUAUUAUGUCUAAGAAGACAGCCUAUGUUAAAUAGGAGGAAGGUGUGGAUGAUGUCAAAUCAGCAUGGCUUUUACGUCUGGGGCUACACACAUGAUACAAUGGUCUGUACAAAGAGUAGCGAUAUCGUAAGAUUGAGCCAAUCUCAUAAAGCAGAUCUAAGUCCGGAUUGAGGUCUGCAACUCGACCUCAUGAAGUUGGAAUUGCUAGUAAUCGUGAAUCAGAUAUGUCACGGUGAAUAUGUUCCUGGGUCUUGUACUCACCGCCCGUCAUGGCAUGGGAGGUAGUAAUGUCGGAAGUCCCCCUAGUAAUAUGGGGGCCCAUGGCAGGACUACUGACUGGGCUAAAGUCGUAACAAGGUA